This is a long non-coding RNA of Sapajus apella (tufted capuchin), 439 nucleotides long. RefSeq lists it as uncharacterized. The record is from RefSeq and is a predicted model, not a curated record. The transcript is spliced from 3 exons. NCBI's taxonomy places the organism in Eukaryota, Metazoa, Chordata, Mammalia, Primates, Cebidae.
CUGACCUCGUGAUCCACCCACCUUGGCCUCCCAAAGUGCUGGGAUUACAGGCGUGAGCCACCGCCCUGGCCAAGACACUUGUUUCUAAUCUCUGGGUCUGAUUAACUGCUGGGGAAGUUGAGGAGGAGAAGUGCUAAAAGGGGUGGAAAGUACAUUGGAUGGCACCUUUUACUCCUGUGGUAAGACAGAACAUAAAGGCCCAGCUGCUGCUGCUUUUUUUUUUUUUUUUUUUUUUUUGGGACGGAGUUUCGCUCUUGUUACCCAGGCUGGAGUGCAAUGGUGGGAUCUCAGCUUACGGCAACCACUGCCACCCGGGGUCAAGUGAUUCUCCUGUUUCUGCCUCCUGAAUAGUUGCGAUUACAGUCAUGCACCACCAUGCCCGGCUAAUUUUGUAUUUUUCUUUUCUUUUAGUAGAGAUGGGGUUUCUCCAUGUUGGUCA